Microcebus murinus (gray mouse lemur) is the source of this 544-nucleotide non-coding RNA. The record is from the annotation of a RefSeq genome assembly. NCBI's taxonomy places the organism in Eukaryota, Metazoa, Chordata, Mammalia, Primates, Cheirogaleidae.
GCCCCUGUCCCUCCUCUGGGCUGGAGGGUGGAUAAGAGACACCUGCAGCGUGGCAGCCUCGGCAGAGCUCUGGGUGUCUGCACCAUGGCCUGCGCCCCACUCCUCCUCCUCACCCUCCUCCUUCACUGCACAGGGUCCCUUUCCCAGCCUGUGCUGACCCAGCCGCCCUCUGCAUCUGCCUCCCCGGGAGCCUCGGCCAAGCUCACCUGCACCCUGAGCAGUGCGCACAGUGGCUACACCAUUGCGUGGCAUCAGCAGCAGCCAGGGAAGGCCCCUCGGUACUUGAUGCGGCUUAACAGUGAUGGAAGCCACAGCAAGGGGGACGGGAUCCCCGAUCGCUUCUCGGGCUCCAGCUCCGGGGCUGACCGCUACUUAACCAUCUCCAACGUCCAGCCUGAGGACGAGGCUGACUAUUACUGUCAGACCGGGGACAGCAGUGGUGUUAAUCACAGUGACACAGGGAGAUGGGGAAGUGGGACCAAAACCUCAGCCUGCUCACUUUCUUACCAGUGACAAUAAUGAAACUUAUAGAGGGUUUCCAUGU